GCUAGGCACGGUGGCACGGUGCCUGUAGUCCCAGCUACUUGGGAGGCUGGGGUGGGAGGAUCGCUUGAGCCCAGGAGUUCUGGGCUAUAGUGUGCUAUGCUGAUCUGGUGUCCUCACUAAGUGCGGCAUCAAUGUGGUGACCUCCCAGGAGUGGGGGACCACCAGGUUGCCUAAGAAGGGGUGAAACGGCCCAGGUUAGAAAAGAGCAGGUCAAAACUUCUGUGCUGAUCAGUAGUGGGACUGCGCCUGUGAACAGCCACUGCAAUCCACCCUGAGCAACAUAGCGAGACCCCGUCUCU
Molecule: signal recognition particle RNA, 299 nt
Filed under: Aotus nancymaae (Ma's night monkey)
Lineage: Eukaryota; Metazoa; Chordata; Mammalia; Primates; Aotidae
Description: Metazoan signal recognition particle RNA (ENSANAG00000008515.1)
Rfam family: Metazoan signal recognition particle RNA
About the family: The signal recognition particle (SRP) is a universally conserved ribonucleoprotein. It is involved in the co-translational targeting of proteins to membranes. The eukaryotic SRP consists of a 300-nucleotide 7S RNA and six proteins: SRPs 72, 68, 54, 19, 14, and 9.
Source: RNAcentral